ACUUGCGCUUGGGGACAAACAAUCUCAAAUGAUUUUCUUGAUGAGAUUGAAUGCUAGUUGAAAAUAAUUCCGCUUAACUUAUUUUUACCCCUCAUU
RNAcentral lists this small nuclear RNA (96 nucleotides) under Bigelowiella natans. RNAcentral describes it as "U4". The record is from RNAcentral. Lineage: Eukaryota; Cercozoa; Chlorarachniophyceae.